Triticum aestivum (bread wheat) is the source of this 125-nucleotide non-coding RNA. Lineage: Eukaryota; Viridiplantae; Streptophyta; Magnoliopsida; Poales; Poaceae. The record is from Rfam.
UACAUACCCCCUCCGUCUGGAAUUACUUGUUGGAGAAAUGGAUGUAUCUAAACGUAUUUUGGUUCUAGAUACAUCAAUUCUUAUCAAUUUUGGUGACAAGUAAUUUCGGACGGAGGGAGUAUAUC